CCUACGGGUGGCAGCAGUGAGGAAUAUUGGUCAAUGGGCGAGAGCCUGAACCAGCCAAGUCGCGUGCAGGAUGAAGGCUCUAUGGUUUGUAAACUUCUUUUAUAUGGGAAUAAAGUGAGAUACGUGUUCCCUUUUGUAUGUACCAUAUGAAUAAGCAUCGGCUAACUCCGUGCCAGCAGCCGCGGUAAUACGGAGGAUGCAAGCGUUAUCCGGAUUUAUUGGGUUUAAAGGGUGCGUAGGUGGUUGAUUAAGUCAGCGGUGAAAGGUCGUGGCUCAACCAUAAAAUUGCCGUUGAUACUGGUUGACUUGAGUAUAGUUGAGGUAGGCGGAAUGCGUGGUGUAGCGGUGAAAUGCAUAGAGAUCACGCAGAACUCCGAUUGCGAAGGCAGCUUACUAAGCUAUAACUGACGCUGAAGCACGAAAGCGUGGGGAGCAAACAGGAUUAGAUACCCGAGUAGUC
RNAcentral lists this ribosomal RNA (460 nucleotides) under uncultured bacterium. RNAcentral's name for it is "partial 16S ribosomal RNA". It matches the Rfam family "Bacterial small subunit ribosomal RNA", at positions 338 to 795 of the family's 1533-position model. The record is from RNAcentral.